This 465-nucleotide ribosomal RNA is filed under the name uncultured bacterium. Its description in RNAcentral is "partial 16S ribosomal RNA". It matches the Rfam family "Bacterial small subunit ribosomal RNA", at positions 28 to 507 of the family's 1533-position model. The record is from RNAcentral.
GACGAACGCUGGCGGCGUGCUUAACACAUGCAAGUCGAACGGAAAGGCCCUGCUUGCCGGGUACUCGAGUGGCGAACGGGUGAGUAACACGUGGGUGAUCUGCCCUGCACUUCGGGAUAAGCCUGGGAAACUGGGUCUAAUACCGGAUAGGAGCCAUUUUUAGUGUGAUGGUUGGAAAGUUUUUUCGGUGUAGGAUGAGCUCGCGGCCUAUCAGCUUGUUGGUGGGGUAAUGGCCUACCAAGGCGGCGACGGGUAGCCGGCCUGAGAGGGUGGACGGCCACAUUGGGACUGAGAUACGGCCCAGACGCCUACGGGAGGCAGCAGUGGGGAAUAUUGCACAAUGGGCGCAAGCCUGAUGCAGCGACGCCGCGUGGGGGAUGACGGCCUUCGGGUUGUAAACUCCUUUCGCUAGGGACGAAGCUUUUUGUGACGGUGCCUAGAUAAGAAGCACCGGCUAACUACGUG